Molecule: long non-coding RNA, 486 nt
Filed under: Physcomitrium patens
Lineage: Eukaryota; Viridiplantae; Streptophyta; Bryopsida; Funariales; Funariaceae
Description: long non-coding RNA (PPAT_LNC013926)
Source: RNAcentral
CUUCCUUCUAAAUAUCAAUAAAAAAAGAUAAAAAUGCAAGAACUAGCAUAAAUAAAUCCGAACCAGUGUUGAAUCUCCUUUCUUGAAAACUCUAGCAACCCUCAUUUCUAUAAAUUUGCUUAGAUCUCCUUCUUCAUAGCUCCAUUUUUUGCAUGCUAUAGCUUAUUUGAAAGCUUACAAUCAGAUCUAGUUUCUCUCUAAAUAUCAACACAAAAAGAUAAAAAUGCAAGAAGUGGCAUAGAAAAAUCCAAACCAAUAUUGAAUCUUUCUUUUAAAAAAUUCCAGCAAAAAAAAAAAUCCUAUUUGAUUUCAAAAUCUCUAUCUUAACCUUCUUUCAAUACCUGCCUUGAACUACUAUGUAAUUGGGUAUCUAUCCUAAAAGACAAUAUCCUUAAGCUCAAAUAAUCAUUCAAGCCAACAACCUCUUAUUCUAAAUUCCAUUCAAAUUUGUAAAUAUAUUAGCAAUAAGUUCCUCCUCUCCUACCA